AUGCCCCUGGGCUGGGAAACAAGUGUGCGGUGCAGAGUGGGGGCAAGAAUCCCCCUCGGCGGUGGCCCCUGCCUCGCCCCGCUUCGCCCCUCCCGAGUCCGGGUUGCGGCGCUUCCUGGGCGGAUGGUUGGGACUCGCCGCAGCAGCUGCGGUUCUGCUGUGUCAUGCAAGAAGGAGGCGGCGGCGGCGGCGUUCGGAGCUGGAGGGGGAGGAGGGGAGGAACCUGAUCUCUCCGGUAGCGAAGGGCUGGAGGCAAACACCGAGCUCCCCCAGAGCCGCCCGGGAGCAGGGAGGGCACCGCUACCCCGAGGGGCCCUCCCCGCGGGGCAGAUGGUCCUGGGUGAUGACAAAAAGAGCAAUUUGCUUUUCCUCGUCUAUCUCACUCCAUCAUACCACCUUGCAUCAGUUGAUGGAGUCUGGAGAAUCCCUUUCGGUGCCACUACAGCUCUGUAAUACACUGUAACCACUCACCAGGAUGCCCAGCCCCAGUUUCCCAUCAAAGGCAAAGAUGACUUUUUAUCAGGAAGAGCUGUAUCACCUCUUAGAGAAACCACCAGCUUCUCAGUCCACAGAAAGGUGCUCCUGCCCUCAGGAGAGAAUGUAGAGAAUAUCAAAGGAGAAAAGGUUUUGACUUUGUCCUGAGAAUAUGGAAACCUGUUAUGACCUUUCAUUCCAGUGUCCUUGAAUUAGAAACUAAAGUAACAGAUGUAGUUUAAACAACAUUUUAAUGUUAUGACAUCCUGUAUUAUUUAGUUAGACUGGGGGUUGGCAAACUUUUUCUGUAAAGGGCCAGAUGGGAAAUAUUUUAGGCUUUGUGGUCCAUUCUCUGUCCUAACUACUCAACCCUACCAUUGUAGUGUGAAAGCCACCAUAGAUAAUACGUAAAUGAAUGAGCACGGCUGGGUGUCAAUUAAACUUUAUUUAUGGAUCCCAAGGUUUGAAUUUCAUAUAAUUUUCACAUGUUGCAAAGUAUCAUUUUUUAAAAUAAAAUCUUACUCAGCUACUUAAAAAUGUGAAAACCAUUCUUAACUCACAGACCAUACAAAAACAAGGGGUGUGCUGGAUUUGGCUUAUGGGCAGUGGUUUGACAACCUCUGAUUUAGACAAAAAUGAAGACCAUGUCAUGAGAAAGAUUUUUCAGGUUCAGACUUUGGAAGAAAAUCAUCUGUUUUAUGGAUACCCCUUUAUUUUAACUACUCAAAUGUAUUUGAACAUAUAAACACAUUUGCCUUCACCUGACUUAUUUGGGAAUGACAUAUGUCUUCUUAGUUCAGUAUUGAUUUAAGACUUUGCUCCUUCUCUUCCUUGUAGUGAAUAAAUGUGCAUGGAUGUAGUAUUUUUAUAAAGCAAACUGAAGAAUUCUUACUAGUCGACUAUAAAUACCCAAACCAAAAGGGC
This 1398-nucleotide long non-coding RNA is filed under the name Mustela putorius furo (domestic ferret). RNAcentral describes it as "lncRNA (ENSMPUG00000030705.1)". The record is from RNAcentral. Lineage: Eukaryota; Metazoa; Chordata; Mammalia; Carnivora; Mustelidae.